GACGAACGCUGGCGGCGUGCCUAAUACAUGCAAGUGGGACGCAAGGGAACACACUGUGCUUGCACACCGUGUUUUCUUGAGUCGCGAACGGGUGAGUAACGCGUAGGUAACCUGCCUAUUAGCGGGGGAUAACUAUUGGAAACGAUAGCUAAUACCGCAUAAUAUUAAUUAUUGCAUGAUAAUUGAUUGAAAGAUGCAAGCGCAUCACUAGUAGAUGGACCUGCGUUGUAUUAGCUAGUUGGUAAGGUAAGAGCUUACCAAGGCGACGAUACAUAGCCGACCUGAGAGGGUGAUCGGCCACACUGGGACUGAGACACGGCCCAGACUCCUACGGGAGGCAGCAGUAGGGAAUCUUCGGCAAUGGACGAAAGUCUGACCGAGCAACGCCGCGUGAGUGAAGAAGGUUUUCGGAUCGUAAAGCUCUGUUGUAAGUCAAGAACGU
This 442-nucleotide ribosomal RNA is filed under the name Streptococcus mutans. Its description in RNAcentral is "bacterial SSU rRNA". It matches the Rfam family "Bacterial small subunit ribosomal RNA", at positions 28 to 452 of the family's 1533-position model. Lineage: Bacteria; Bacillati; Bacillota; Bacilli; Lactobacillales; Streptococcaceae. The record is from RNAcentral.